RNAcentral lists this ribosomal RNA (491 nucleotides) under uncultured bacterium. RNAcentral's name for it is "bacterial SSU rRNA". It matches the Rfam family "Bacterial small subunit ribosomal RNA", at positions 1 to 507 of the family's 1533-position model. The record is from RNAcentral.
UACGAGUUUGAUCAUGGCUCAGGAUGAACGCUGGCGGCGUGCCUAAUACAUGCAAGUCGAACGAGGUGCUUUUGUAGCAAUACGAAAGUAUCCUAGUGGCGAACGGGUGAGUAACGCCUUGGUGACCUACCCCAAAGUGUGGGAUAACAGUUCGAAAGAACUGCUAAUACCGCAUGUGGUUAUCGGAUUUAGAAACUGAUAACUAAAGGAGCAAUUCGCUUUGGGAGGGACCUGCGUCCCAUCAGCUAGUUGGUGAGGUAAUGGCUCACCAAGGCUACGACGGGUAGGGGACCUGAGAGGGUGACCCCCCACAAUGGAACUGAAACACGGUCCAUACACCUACGGGUGGCAGCAGUAGGGAAUAUUGCACAAUGGGCGAAAGCCUGAUGCAGCAACGCCGCGUGUGCGAUGAAGGCCCUCGGGUCGUAAAGCACUUUUCUGAGAGAUGAGCAAGGACAGUAUCUCAGGAAUAAGUCUCGGCUAACUACGUG